Molecule: transfer RNA, 67 nt
Filed under: Cerambycidae sp. 6 KM-2017
Lineage: Eukaryota; Metazoa; Arthropoda; Insecta; Coleoptera; Cerambycidae
Description: tRNA-Ser
Source: RNAcentral
GAAGUAAGAUAAUUCAAGAAUAAGCUUCUAACUUAAUUCUUAAGCGAUGGAAUUCGUUUUUACUUCU